This 253-nucleotide ribosomal RNA is filed under the name uncultured bacterium. RNAcentral describes it as "partial 16S ribosomal RNA". It matches the Rfam family "Bacterial small subunit ribosomal RNA", at positions 524 to 776 of the family's 1533-position model. The record is from RNAcentral.
UACGUAGGGCGCAAGCGUUGUCCGGAAUUAUUGGGCGUAAAGAGCUCGUAGGCGGUCUGUCACGUCGGAAGUGAAAACCCGGGGCUUAACCCCGGGCUUGCUUUCGAUACGGGCAGACUAGAGUGUGGUAGGGGAGACUGGAAUUCCUGGUGUAGCGGUGAAAUGCGCAGAUAUCAGGAGGAACACCGGUGGCGAAGGCGGGUCUCUGGGCCACUACUGACGCUGAGGAGCGAAAGCGUGGGGAGCGAACAGG